Molecule: long non-coding RNA, 2104 nt
Organism: Brassica rapa (field mustard)
Lineage: Eukaryota; Viridiplantae; Streptophyta; Magnoliopsida; Brassicales; Brassicaceae
Source: RefSeq, a predicted model, not a curated record
CAUAAAUGUCUCCAGCCCCGCAAGGUAUUCUUUCGUCACUCUCCCGUUAGCAUCUCUAUGCAUAUACAUCCAAUUCCGCAACUCGUAAAUAGUCCCAGAGCCAGCCAUUUUUUUUUCUUUCACGUUUUUUGUUGUUGGUGUGUUUAAAAUGAUGUUCCAACAUCCAUAUUUAUAGAAAAUUUCGAAUCUGGUAGUUGUAAUUUUACUAUGAAAUUACGAUGAAAAUUUAUUGUAUGGCCAAAAAUAAACGUGAGCCACCUACCAAGUUGGUGGAUUCAAAAUUUCCUCGUUAAGUACACGUAAAAUAUUUCGUCGUAAGCACUCGCGAAAUUUACGUGGCUUUUACGAGGAAAAACUAUUUCCUCGUAAAAGCCACGUCAAUUUACAUCGUCUUUACGACGAAUAUGUUUUGUCGUUACCUUACGACGAAAUAACGAUGCUUUUCUUUCUCCACGUACUUUCCUCGCAAAAUCAACGUUUUUUUACGAGGAUUAUUUUUCCUCGUUAAACUUCCUCGUUAAAGUUACGUUUUCUUGUAGUGAUGUCAUAAAACAGUUGUGUAAUACGAAAAUAUUAUAUAUCUAUAGUAUUUGAAUAUAUAUAAAUUCAAGAUUUUAUUUAUAAAAAUGACAUUCGAGCGAAUGCACGAAUCAAAGUUUAGUCUAUCUUAUUAAAAUAGAAGUAUUUUUAAGAAUUGUUUGGGAACAUUGAUAUCAAUUUAAAAAAAAAGAAUAUAAUGUCGUUUGGAAAUAUAAAUAAUGUUAAAAAAGGGCUUAUAUUAUUAAGAAAAAUUAGAAGUAUAUUAUAUUAUUAGAAACUAUCUAUCUAAGCCAGUUUUAAAAUAUACAAAAAUGGUCCAAUCUAAUUAAGGGGAAUUGCCACAAAUACCACUUUCAAUGUACCACUUUUCAUUAAUACCUUAACCAAUUUUACCAUUAAAAUUUUAAUAGGCAAAAUACAAUUAUACCCCUAUCUAAUUAAAACUACAACUAUUAUCUUCUUCUCCACUAUCCGAUAAUCAAUCCGACGAGAUCCGGUGAUUCUGACGAGUUUUCCGGCGAGCUUUGACAACGAAGACGAGCUCUCUUGUGAAAUCUGACGAUGCUGAUGAGUUCUCUGGCGAAACACGAAUGAGACGAUCUCUCUCCUGAUGCUGAUGAGUUUCCGGUGAGAUAUGACGACGCUAACGAGUUUUCCGGCGAGAUCUGACGAUGCCGAGAAGUUCUACGGCAAAGCUGACAGACUCGACAAGCUCAGACGAACGAGACGAUCUCUCUCCCAACGCCUAAGAAACACUAACAAAGGUAAGAUGAUAGUAUAUGGUGAUUUUUGCCUCUUUCUGUAAUUUUAGCUUGAUUUAUCAAAAUCGAUAUGUUUCUAAGAAAGAAGACGAAGUUUUUCAAGUGAAGUUUUCAGAUCUCAAAUUUAUAAGAUCUUAUAAAUUGGGUCCUUUCAAAUCUUACUGUUGAUCUGUUAGCAAUCAAAAGACACAAAGCUUAACGUAAGAGUACAAUUAUUGAUUUGGUUGAUUUAUUGUCAUAGUUUUCAGAUUUAUAUAAUUAUUUAAUUCAUGAGAAGGUACUAACCUAAGAGUAUAAUUAUUCCAUGAUUACUUCUUCUCUUGGUUGAUUUGGUGAUGUUGCAGAGAAUUACAAAUGUGUGUUGUCAGCUUUUGGAUUUAAAGGAUGUUGUGGAGAAUAUGUGUGGUGAUAUGCAUAUCUAAGUAUCUCACUUCCUUAAGAAGCAGUGGAGAUGAAGGAUGAGUUUGUUGAGUUACGAAAGCAUACUAUUUUUGAAUCUUAUUUUGGAAGUGAAUGCUGAUGCGUAGAAAUAAUAUGUGACUGGCUUUUGUUCAGAUUUUGAAAAUUUACGAGGUUGGUGAGCUGUUUGAAGAGGCAAGAGAGACUCUGAAGAAGAAUGUGGUUUGUGCUAUCAAAGAAUUACGUAUUUAUAACGCUUUAUAAAAGUUGCAGAGUUGGCUUCUUAGUACAUUCUUCUCUCUCAUCUUCUUUAGACAUCUCUUAUACUAAAACAAUUGUAUCUCUCUUUUAGUAGUUGCAUAGUUGAAGAUAUUAGUUGGACAUGUAAGUGAGUUUGGUUUCAA